UACUAUGUUACGACUUAUCUCAUCUUAAUAACGAGAGUGACGGGCGAUGUGUGCACAUUUUAGAGCUAAAAUCAUUAAAAUAAUUCUUAUUAAUAAUUACUAUUAAAUCCCCCUUCAUAAAACAAUUCCAGACCAUAAUCCGUUUAUCUUAUAAAUAUUGUAAUCCAUUUCCACUCAACCAUCAACUGCACCUUGACCUGAAAUAAAAUUAAUCAUAAUUUAAAGAAAAUUAACCCUAAAAAGAUCUUCAAACAAACGGCGGUAUACAUACUAAAUUAUAUUGAGUAAGGUUCAACGCGGAUUAUCGAUAACGGAACAGAUUCCUCUAACUAGACUAAAAUACCGCCAAAUUCUUUAAGUUUCAAGAUCAUACCUAAUACUACUCAAGUUAAAAAUUUUAAAUCUUAAUAUAAUAGGGUAUCUAAUCCUAGUUU
This 434-nucleotide ribosomal RNA is filed under the name Panesthia angustipennis spadica. Its description in RNAcentral is "partial 12S rRNA". Lineage: Eukaryota; Metazoa; Arthropoda; Insecta; Blattodea; Blaberidae. The record is from RNAcentral.